AUGGAAAUGGGUGAAAACACUGUCUCUGGUUGUACUGAGUUGGCUUCGACACCUCUGAUGGAAGACCACGAUUACACAGCCAGCUCUUUCAUCGUGGUCGACCGUGAGAAAUUUGAGAGCAUGUCGAGGCAGAUCGAGGAGCUCACACGGCAAAUCGAAACACUGCACAUGGAGAGAUUUGGAUUGCAACGGUUUUCUACAUCACCUAGUGACAUUCGCUACUAUUCCAGAUUUCCAUCAUAUGAACAUUUGAUGGCCUUUUGGGAUCUAAUUCAAGAGGCAACAAGCAGAAUGGUGAGAGUCACCAGUGGUCAGAAGAACCUCUCCACCAGUACAUCCACUGAGACCCCUAUGAACAGACCAACAGUAAGUUUUACAAUAAACAUAUACCACCGGCUCGGUACAUGUGGAUCACACAUUUUGCUGGUGACUGCCACAGAAGAGGCAGUUAACUGUGUAUUGUUUCUGCUCAGCUCUGUGCAUGCACCACAUAUUUUAAACACCCUAGUUUGUGUAUGUUAUCGUUGUGUUGUAGUGCUUCUAUCUACAGUAUCUAAUACAGUGACUAUUUUCCCUAGAAACUGCUGCCAAUUGACGAGCUCUUCCUCUUCCUCAACUACCUGUCAACCGGCUGUACACAAAGGGAGCUUGGUCACAAGUUCAAUAUCCACAGAGCAACAGCAAGCAGAAUAAUUGUGACGUGGUCCAACUUUUUGUAUACUUUGCUUGGAUCGCGUUAGCAUGACGUGUCACUGCCUGUUACGAACCCUUGCUCGUUAAAGAGGUGCAACAAAAAGGAGGGAGACAACUGAUAAAAUGUUUGAAUACGUUAUCAUUUAUUGAUAAAUCAAGGGAUAGGGGGGAAUUAAAUAAAGAGAAAGGAGAUUGCCCUUCAAUAAACAAAGCAUUCAAAUGAACAUGUACAAUUAACUUAAUCAUUAGUAACAUAAGAUCUUUUCCUCAUUGACCUGUAGCACUCUGCCCUGACCAUCACCUCUCCUGAACCCGGAUCUUUGUCAGACACUGUGGAAAAAUAACAAUUUUAGCAAGUUAGUAAUUAAUAGGAUAGCAUGCAAGUUAGUUGGUAAGAACAAUGACUAGCAACUCUAAUAGGAAAAUAUUGUUGUCCAUCUAAAGUUCGUUUGUUCAUACACAGGCAAUCGCAGUUUGCGAACUUGACAACGAACGAACCAACGUUUGAUACUUUUAGGCUACUGCCUAUAUAACACGCAGGAGUGUCAACAACACAUAUCCUCCGAACAUAACAUCAUAAACUAAACAAGGGCUAAGACAAACAUCUAACGCACGAUUUCGACUUUUAUAAUGUAUAGAGAUAACAUAACAUUGACCAGAUAACAUAACUUUAGCACGUAGCAUGGAUAUCAUGUUGUUGUGACUUACCUUCAAAAUUGUGCAAAUAUUGCGAUAGAUACAGUAUAAACCCCUUUUCUCGUUUGGUUUGGGGUGCGGGUGAAAAUAUGCUGACCAGUCGAUGAACAUCGUCAACUGUUAUCGCCGGCAUAUGUCCAAGACAUCUUGAGAAAUUUGCUUCGGCCAUUGGGCUACCGGAUUCCAGCCGAGUCGUGUUGAUACCGGAAGCUCGACAGCCAAUAGGAAGUACGCUACCGGAAGUAGCAUAUGCUAAUGUGCACGUAGUGAAUAAGGUCUUUUAUGGCUUAAAUUAAAGAGCCUGUAAUGAUCUUUCAUUUUGAACAUAGACCAUUCCCAACCUAUCUGUAUGGAUAGUUUUCUUCUAAAAACAAAACAACCCUCGGAAUCAUCUUGGC
Molecule: long non-coding RNA, 1787 nt
Organism: Gadus morhua (Atlantic cod)
Lineage: Eukaryota; Metazoa; Chordata; Actinopteri; Gadiformes; Gadidae
Source: Ensembl